Molecule: long non-coding RNA, 407 nt
Organism: Oncorhynchus tshawytscha (Chinook salmon)
Lineage: Eukaryota; Metazoa; Chordata; Actinopteri; Salmoniformes; Salmonidae
Source: Ensembl
UAUAUACAGGGGGUACUGGUACAGAGUCAGUGUGGAGGUUAUAUACAGGGGGUACCAGUACAGAGUCAGUGUGGAGGUUAUAUACAGGGGGUACUGGUACAGAGUCAGUGUGGAGGUUAUAUACAGGGGGUACCAGUACAGAGUCAGUGUGGAGGUUAUAUACAGGGGGUACCAGUACAGAGUCAGUGUGGAGGUUAUAUACAGGGGGUACCGGUACAGAGUCAGUGUGGAGGUUAUAUACAGGGGGUACUGGUACAGAGUCAAUGUGGAGGCUAUAUACAGGGGCUACCGGUACAGAGUCAAUGUGGAGGCUAUAUACAGGGGGUACUGGUACAGAGUCAAUGUGGAGGCUAUAUACAGGGGGUACCGGUACAGAGUCAAUGUGGAGGCUAUAUACAGGGGGCACC